RNAcentral lists this ribosomal RNA (332 nucleotides) under uncultured Gemmatimonas sp. RNAcentral describes it as "bacterial SSU rRNA". It matches the Rfam family "Bacterial small subunit ribosomal RNA", at positions 568 to 898 of the family's 1533-position model. The record is from RNAcentral. Lineage: Bacteria; Pseudomonadati; Gemmatimonadota; Gemmatimonadia; Gemmatimonadales; Gemmatimonadaceae.
CGCGUAGGUGGCCUGAUAAGUAGGGGGUGAAAUCUCGAGGCUCAACUUCGAGGCUGCCUCCUAAACUGUCAGGCUUGAGCAGAGUAGAGGCAGGUGGAAUUCCCGGUGUAGCGGUGGAAUGCGUAGAGAUCGGGAAGAACAUCGGUGGCGAAGGCGGCCUGCUGGGCUCUUGCUGACACUGAGGCGCGACAGCGUGGGGAGCAAACAGGAUUAGAUACCCUGGUAGUCCACGCCGUAAACGAUGGGUACUAGGCGCCGGGGGGAGCGACCCCUUCGGUGCCGUCGCUAACGCAAUAAGUACCCCGCCUGGGGAGUACGGCCGCAAGGCUGAA